AACAACAACAACAACUAAAGGGAACAAAUGCAGCUGGUGAAAAGUAAAAUGCUAGACCUUAUCUAGUUAUGGAGUUGUACCAAAAAUUUAUUAACCAUAAAAACAAUAAUAGAAGAAAAGCGAAAUAUCCCCAUGGCUUCAUAGAAUAUUUAUUGGACAAGUCUAAGAAAGAAAGGAAUGGCCUGUUUUCUCUUCCAGAUACAGAUAGAUAAUUACAUCCAAAGCAGAUUAUCCCUUUCAGGUAUUAUAGAUCAAUCCAAUAAGGCAGUUUGUCCUAUCAAUGUGAGUUCAUUAGCUGGACCAAUUGUGAAACCUAGCUAUCUUGCUAUAAUAAAAACCAUCAUAUUAUGAAUUUAGCAAAAACGUCAGUGUUGCACCAAUCAAAGCCAGAUUUAGCAAUGACUAAAAAUUACUCUUCCAUAUCCAUCAAAACAUAAAAAUAGUAAAAAAAGAAAGCAGUUGCUAUGUUCAGUUAGACAAUUAACAAGGAAGAGAAAACCUCAACCUUACUAAAUUUCUGAAUAAAUUUUUUUAAGGCGGUGUUGACUUCAAUAUUUGGAGUCUUCAACCAUCUAGAAACAAAUACCUAUUCUAUCUCUUCAAGUGCAUAUGUAAUUAGCUUUAGGGUAGAUAUUCUUCCAAAGAGAAAAUAAUUAAUUCCCAAAUCUGACUAUUUUUUCUACAAAAAUAUUCAUGUAUGCUACCAUAAUUAUACAGAAAAAUAACACAACCAAAUAAACCAACACAAACCCAAAAAAUCGACUACAUUUGCAGAGAAUUACAGUAAAUCAAUUCAAAGAAAACUUGCAAAUACUUCAACAAAUUAGCA
RNAcentral lists this unclassified non-coding RNA (829 nucleotides) under Hevea brasiliensis (rubber tree). The record is from RNAcentral. Lineage: Eukaryota; Viridiplantae; Streptophyta; Magnoliopsida; Malpighiales; Euphorbiaceae.